AUUCGCCCCCUUCUCUCUGCACUUCCUCUCCUCUCGCCGCCGCCGCCCCGUCCUCCUCGAUUUGCCGCCACGUUCUUCAGGUGGCUUUCCUCUCGCUUACCGUCGAUGCUGCCGCAGCCGCCUCUCUCGCUACUGCUGCCAAGACGAGGCCGCCGUCGAGCUUGCUCCUCGUCAUCCCUGGGAGGGCGUCGACGAGCUCGGUGAGCGCCAAGCCGUCAUCCUCGCGUCGACCUGCCCCUCCCGGUGUGCUUGGCAGCCUGAGGACUUGAGCGUGGCGUCCACGUUGGACCGCUGUGGGCUCAAGCGGCCCUUCCCGCCGCCGUCGCUGGCAAGCACAUCCGCGCGCUCAUGGGGCGGCGGCACGGCUCCGUCAAGCCCAAUGAGGCAUCCAUCCUCGAGGGCAGCGAGCCGGAGCUGGGCCUGGACAAGGGAUUCAGUUUCUCCAAGCACUUCUUCGCCAAGUACGAGCUCGGCGAGGAGGCCAGCUGCGGUCACUUUGGAUACACCUGCGCCGCCAAGGCCAAGAAGGGCGAGCACAAGGGCCAGGGCGUCGCCGUCAAGGUCAUUCCCAAGGCCAAGGCAUGUCCGUCUGAAUGAUGAUGUCAUAUUGCAGUUUGGAUCGAAAGGUGCUCGAUGAUUCGCUUCAUAGGACCACUGCUGCUCGGAUUGAUUUCGUUGUUACACAGGUGUUUUGCUAAUCGCGUUUGUCAAGAUUGUUCUUUGACUGUAUAUAUGUGCUCUCACAAUGUUUGCAAAUGCAUAUGGUGUCGAGUGUACAGCCAUACACGCGAGUCAUUUCACCAUUUUGCAUCACUCUGAUAUUGAUAUCGUUUGUCUUGAAUAUAUCGCCAUAUAGUAUUCAGAGAUGAUCGAGCAGGUUGACCGUGGUGUAAAACAUACUCACCCUGACAUGCAUUUCUUCUGUGGAAACACUUCUUUUGCAAAAUCCAAUCAGGAUUCUCUGAGAAAUAUAUUAAUUAUCUUCGCCAAGCUGAAUACUGGGAUAAAGUCAUUUGUGUCUACCACUUCCAUAUUUUCUUGAGGAGAUUAUGUUGAUAUAUUUAGGGUAGUCAUUCCAGGUUGGGGUUGGAGGGCGGUAAAAGGAGCAUGUUAUCAUAGCAUUGGCGGUGGCUCAUCUUGGGUUACUCCGUCGUCCUAUAAGGUCGCCGACAGACUAUCAGAUCUCUAGGAGGUGGUGCUGGGUGGUGAUGUCACUUAGUUGGAAACUUGCUGGGUUGUAUUCUGAAUAAUAGUGCAAGGUACCUUGAGUAAAUGAUCUGCAAAUCAGUGCAUCUGGAACGCUAGGAUGUGUGGGGACAAAAAGCUUUACGAGGCUUGUCAGCAAUGAUUGAUGAGAUAAUUGGUUCAGCUACUUUCGUAAGAGGCGACGGGAAUCAUAAAUACCACAAUGGCUAUGAAGAUUCAACAUAUAGAAAGAUGGAAGAGCUCAGCUGAGAGUGAGCAACAGGCAGAGCUGGAUGCACAUGGGAGAUUGAAAAGAAGUUUGGUUGCAGGAUGCAUUACUAACUGUUCCGCGUAGACGAUCAGACUCUUCAAAAUAUAGCGUAAGGAAAGGUUGAUGUUUGCCAAGUUUCCUCUACCACUCUUCUUAUGCAUGAUUCCUUAUUAAGAUUCACAAAGGUGGCUAGCCCAGUAAAUGAAUCUACUUCUGGGCUGAUUCAUGUUGUCAGAAUCACACAGAGGUCAUGACUGAUUGUGCACCAGAAUCUUGAGUGUGAUUCACGUAGUUUGGUGUUUUUAUUAUGAUUAAGGCUCAGGUCUUUUGCCUGGAAGUAUUAUUAUAUUGAUUGAAUUAACUUAAUAUUAGUUCUUCAUGAUUAUUUUUGUUGGUCCAUCUAUUUUAUUGUUAUAUAGAAGACAACAAAAUGUUUGUACUUAGGAUGUGCAUAUGUGAUUUGUUUAAGUUACUAUGUGUCAAGUGAGUAGUACUUACUUAGGGAGCUAGCCCAAUGCUAUGUAAAAAGGAGAUUUAUGAGAAUUCAAUAUUGAAAGAUUUGACAUAUUUUGUCUUUCAUGUUUCUCUAUAUCUGCUACAAUGCCUGGAUUGCCAGAUGUUGGUCUCAGCUCCGAUGGAGAAAUGACAGAUCAAGGGCAUUUAAUCACUAAAGUAGUAUCGAUACCAAUGAUUGGUGAUGCUGAUAAUGGUUAUGGAAACUGUAUCAAUGUCAAGUUGAUAGCGAAAUGAUUUAUCAAUGUUGGUUUUGCUAAAAUUAUUCUUGAAGAUUAACUAUUCAUUUGAAGUAAUAAUAACCUACCUUAGUUUAUUUUUGUUCUACUUGAAAUUCAGCAAUAAAGGGAUUAUGUUAUA
Molecule: long non-coding RNA, 2329 nt
Organism: Triticum dicoccoides
Lineage: Eukaryota; Viridiplantae; Streptophyta; Magnoliopsida; Poales; Poaceae
Exons: 8
Source: RefSeq, a predicted model, not a curated record